Molecule: ribosomal RNA, 497 nt
Filed under: uncultured bacterium
Lineage: Bacteria
Description: partial 16S ribosomal RNA
Rfam family: Bacterial small subunit ribosomal RNA
Source: RNAcentral
GAUGAACGCUGGCGGCGUGCCUAAUACAUGCAAGUCGAGCGAACGGACGAGAAGCUUGCUUCUCUGAUGUUAGCGGCGGACGGGUGAGUAACACGUGGAUAACCUACCUAUAAGACUGGGAUAACUUCGGGAAACCGGAGCUAAUACCGGAUGAUAUUUUGAACCGCAUGGUUCAAAAGUGAAAGACGGUCUUGCUGUCACUUAUAGAUGGAUCCGCGCUGCAUUAGCUAGUUGGUAAGGUAACGGCUUACCAAGGCAACGAUGCAUAGCCGACCCGAGAGGGUGAUCGGCCACACUGGAACUGAGACACGGUCCAGACUCCUACGGGAGGCAGCAGUAGGGAAUCUUCCGCGAUGGGCGAAAGCCUGACGGAGCAACGCCGCGUGAGUGAUGAAGGUCUUCGGAUCGUAAAACUCUGUUAUUAGGGAAGAACAUAUGUGUAAGUAACUGUGCACAUCUUGACGGUACCUAAUCAGAAAGCCACGGCUAACUACGUG